UAAGUUUGCGCACGCGCGGGGUGCGCGCGUGAGAAGUUAAUUCAGCGACGCGGUAGAUUUGAAAAAGUACAAAAUAGGGGGACAGGACAAUUUUCGAUUUUUAUCCCCCUCUUCUUCCUCCCUUCCUUUCCCGCUCGCCCCCUCCACCGACGACGCUGCCGCCAACCGCCGCUGCUCCGCCACCUCCGCCGCCGCCGCCGAGCUCCGGCCACCGCCGCCGACUCCGCCCCCGCUCCCUCCCUCGACGACGGAGCCGGCGUCCCGCCUCCGUCCGCCCCCGUUUCCUGGCGUGCUCGACUCCUUCGAGCCUCGCGGCGGUUUUGGACCGGCGGAAUCGAGGGCUUUUCUUCCCCGCGCGCGCCCCCCCCCGAAGUGACGGUUGACGGCGGCGAAGGCUCCUCGUCCGACGGGGAGCGGCCCCGGUCGGACACCGGCACGGUCCGCCCGCCCUUCUGCUUUCCCCCGUUUCUUCUAGUCUCCGAUCGGGUUGCCCGCUGUCAGUGAAUUGCGGGGUUGGUUUGUCGUCCACUCCGGCGGAAGCGCGGAGAACGGCUCCGGGGAUUCGGGUGAGUAAAUUCAAGUUGCUGCAUCUUCGGUUGGUUGUUUCUUCUUACUUGUUUGCAAGUCAACGUCGGUUCUUGAG
Molecule: long non-coding RNA, 643 nt
Filed under: Eucalyptus grandis
Lineage: Eukaryota; Viridiplantae; Streptophyta; Magnoliopsida; Myrtales; Myrtaceae
Description: long non-coding RNA (EGRA_LNC007438)
Source: RNAcentral